AUUGAACGCUGGCGGCAUGCUUUACACAUGCAAGUCGAACGGCAGCGCGGGCUUCGGCCUGGCGGCGAGUGGCGAACGGGUGAGAAAUGCAUCGGAACGUGCCCAGUAGUGGGGGAUAGCCCGGCGAAAGCCGGAUUAAUACCGCAUACGACCUGAGGGUGAAAGCGGGGGACCGAAAGGCCUCGCGCUAUUGGAGCGGCCGAUGUCGGGUUAGCUAGUUGGUGGGGUAAAGGCUUACCAAGGCGACGAUCCGUAGCUGGUCUGAGAGGACGACCAGCCACACUGGGACUGAGACACGGCCCAGACUCCUACGGGAGGCAGCAGUGGGGAAUUUUGGACAAUGGGGGCAACCCUGAUCCAGCCAUGCCGCGUGCGGGAAGAAGGCCUUCGGGUUGUAAACCGCUUUUGUUCGGGAAGAAAUCCUCUGGGCUAAUACCCCGGGGGGAUGACGGUACCGGAAGAAUAAGCACCGGCUAACUACGUG
RNAcentral lists this ribosomal RNA (484 nucleotides) under uncultured bacterium. RNAcentral's name for it is "partial 16S ribosomal RNA". It matches the Rfam family "Bacterial small subunit ribosomal RNA", at positions 28 to 507 of the family's 1533-position model. The record is from RNAcentral.